Molecule: transfer RNA, 57 nt
Filed under: Haemonchus placei
Lineage: Eukaryota; Metazoa; Nematoda; Chromadorea; Rhabditida; Trichostrongylidae
Description: tRNA-Ser2
Source: RNAcentral
AAACUAUUAAAAAAUUUAUUUUGAAAAUAAAUUUAGAGAUUUUGUUCUUGUAGUUUU